CCUACAAUAAGUCAGAGCGCGUUAAUGCGUGAUGGCGUGCCUUUUGUAGAAUGAACCGGCGAGUUAUGAUCCCGUGCAAGGUUAAGACUAAAAAGUCGGAGCCGUAGCGAAAGCGAGUCUGAAAUGGGCGUUUUGAGUACGAGGUUAUAGACCCGAAACCAGGUGACCUAUCCAUGUCCAGGUUGAAGGUGCGGUAAAACGCACUGGAGGACCGAACCCGUGUAAGUUGAAAAUUGCUGGGAUGAGGUGUGGAUAGCGGUGAAAUUCCAAACGAACUUGGAGAUAGCUGGUUCUCUCCGAAAUAGCUUUAGGGCUAGCCUCGGAAUUAGGAUCAUGGAGGUAGAGCACUAUUUGGACUAGGGGCCCGUCUUGGGUUACUGAAUUCAGAUAAACUCCGAAUGCCAUUGAUUCAUAUCCGGGAGUCAGACGAUGAGUGAUAAGAUCCACCGUCGAAAGGGGAACAGCCCAGACCAUCAGUUAAGGUCCCUAAAUGUAUGCUAAGUGGAAAAGGAUGUGGAGUUGCAUAGACAACUAGGAUGUUGGCUCAGAAGCAGCCACCAUUUAAAGAGUGCGUAAUAGCUCACUAGUCGAGUGAUCCUGCGCCGAAAAUGUACCGGGGCUAAGCAUACUACCGAAACCAUGGAUGCGACCAUUAGGUCGCGUGAUAGGAGAGCGUUCUAAGGGCGGUGAAGCAAGAUCGUGAGGACUUGUGGAGCGCUUAGAAGUGAGAAUGCCGGUAUGAGUAGCGAAAGAUAGGUGAGAAUCCUAUCCACCGAAUGACUAAGGUUUCCUGGGGAAGGCUCGUCCUCCCAGGGUUAGUCGGGACCUAAGUCGAGGCCGAGAGGCGUAGACGAUGGAUAACAGGUUGAGAUUCCUGUACUAGUUAAGUGCGUUUGAGCAAUGGAGGGACGCAGGAGGCUAAGAUGUGCAUUCUGUUGGAUUAGAAUGUCCAAGCAGUAAGUCUUGUGAAGAGUCAAAUGCUUUUCACUUUAAGGACAAGCUGUGAUGGGGAGCGAAAUUUAGUAGCGAAGCGUCUGAUGUCACACUGCCGAGAAAAGCUUCUAGUGAGUACUUAACUACCCGUACCGCAAACCGACACAGGUAGUCGAGGAGAGAAUCCUAAGGUGAGCGAGUGAACUCUCGUUAAGGAACUCGGCAAAAUGACCCCGUAACUUCGGGAGAAGGGGUGCUGAUCGCAAGAUCAGCCGCAGUGAAUAGGCCCAGGCGACUGUUUAUCAAAAACACAGGUCUCUGCAAAAUCGUAAGAUGACGUAUAGGGGCUGACGCCUGCCCGGUGCUGGAAGGUUAAAAGGAUGGGUUAGCUUCGGCGAAGCUCAGAAUUGAAGCCCCAGUAAACGGCGGCCGUAACUAUAACGGUCCUAAGGUAGCGAAAUUCCUUGUCGGGUAAGUUCCGACCCGCACGAAAGGCGUAACGAUCUGGGCACUGUCUCAACGAGAGACUCGGUGAAAUUAUAUUGUCCGUGAAGAUGCGGACUACCCGCGACAGGACGGAAAGACCCCAUGGAGCUUUACUGUAGCUUGAUAUUGAGUGUUUGUACAGCUUGUACAGGAUAGGUAGGAGCCAUAGAAACCGGAACGCUAGUUUCGGUGGAGGCGUUGGUGGGAUACUACCCUCGCUGUAUGACCACUCUAACCCGCACCACUAAUCGUGGUGGGAGACAGUGUCAGGUGGGCAGUUUGACUGGGGCGGUCGCCUCCUAAAAAGUAACGGAGGCGCCCAAAGGUUCCCUCAGAAUGGUUGGAAAUCAUUCGCAGAGUGUAAAGGCACAAGGGAGCUUGACUGCGAGACAGACAGGUCGAGCAGGGACGAAAGUCGGGCUUAGUGAUCCGGUGGUACCGUAUGGAAGGGCCAUCGCUCAACGGAUAAAAGCUACCCUGGGGAUAACAGGCUUAUCUCCCCCAAGAGUCCACAUCGACGGGGAGGUUUGGCACCUCGAUGUCGGCUCAUCGCAUCCUGGGGCUGUAGUCGGUCCCAAGGGUUGGGCUGUUCGCCCAUUAAAGCGGUACGCGAGCUGGGUUCAGAACGUCGUGAGACAGUUCGGUCCCUAUCCGUCGCGGGCGUAGGAAAUUUGAGAGGACCUGUCCUUAGUACGAGAGGACCGGGAUGGACAUACCUCUGGUGUACCAGUUGUGCCGCCAGGCGCAUCGCUGGGUAGCUACGUAUGGAUGUGAUAAACGCUGAAAGCAUCUAAGUGUGAAACACACCUCGAGAUGAGAUUUCCCAUUCCUUUAUGGAAGUAAGACCCCUGAAAGAUGAUCAGGUAGAUAGGUUAGAAGUGGCAGUGCGGUGACGCAUGAAGCGGACUAAUACUAAUCGGUCGAGGACUUAACCAA
Molecule: ribosomal RNA, 2355 nt
Filed under: Lactiplantibacillus plantarum
Lineage: Bacteria; Bacillati; Bacillota; Bacilli; Lactobacillales; Lactobacillaceae
Description: partial 23S ribosomal RNA
Rfam family: Bacterial large subunit ribosomal RNA
Source: RNAcentral